This 492-nucleotide ribosomal RNA is filed under the name uncultured bacterium. RNAcentral describes it as "partial 16S ribosomal RNA". It matches the Rfam family "Bacterial small subunit ribosomal RNA", at positions 29 to 507 of the family's 1533-position model. The record is from RNAcentral.
AGUGAACGCUGGCGGUAGGCCUAACACAUGCAAGUCGAACGGCAGCACAGUAAGAGCUUGCUCUUACGGGUGGCGAGUGGCGGACGGGUGAGGAAUACAUCGGCAUCUACUUUUUCGUGGGGGAUAACGUAGGGACACUUACGCUAAUACCGCAUACGACCUACGGGUGAAAGCAGGGGAUCUUCGGACCUUGCGCGAUUGAAUGAGCCGAUGUCGGAUUAGCUAGUUGGCGGGGUAAAGGCCCACCAAGGCGACGAUCCGUAGCUGGUCUGAGAGGAUGAUCAGCCACACUGGAACUGAGACACGGUCCAGACUCCUACGGGAGGCAGCAGUGGGGAAUAUUGGACAAUGGGCGAAAGCCUGAUCCAGCCAUACCGCGUGGGUGAAGAAGGCCUUCGGGUUGUAAAGCCCUUUUGUUGGGAAAGAAAAGCAGCAGGUUAAUACCCCGCUGUUCUGACGGUACCCAAAGAAUAAGCACCGGCUAACUUCGUG